This is a non-coding RNA of Callithrix jacchus (white-tufted-ear marmoset), 52 nucleotides long. The record is from Rfam. NCBI's taxonomy places the organism in Eukaryota, Metazoa, Chordata, Mammalia, Primates, Cebidae.
CUUUAAGUAUAAGUAUAUCCCCUGCAAUAUUUGGGAUAUACUUAUACUAAAA